RNAcentral lists this long non-coding RNA (864 nucleotides) under Homo sapiens (human). RNAcentral describes it as "non-protein coding lnc-OLFML3-4:1". The record is from RNAcentral. Lineage: Eukaryota; Metazoa; Chordata; Mammalia; Primates; Hominidae.
CUUGCUGAAGAAUGGGAACAGAAGAUGGAGAUUCUGAAUGGCCAGAAAGAAGGGCCUGGCCACAGACAGCUUUGCCUUUCUCUGCACCGACCAGGUAGGGAUCACAGGCCUCAGUAGUGCCGAUCCCUUCCAGGUUUUGUGCCAGAAAAAUUCCAAGUCAAGCCCCUCAAAGGAUCACAAACUGCACCAUUGGCAAUGGCUUGUUUAACCGAACUUGAGAACUGUUCUUGACCCCGCAACCUGGUAUUGUCUCUAAAGGUUUUACCCAAUCACCUGGGGAUGCUGUCUUUCAACUCUCAGAUUUGGAAGAGGAUGAAGAGGAGGUACCACUCUAUACUUCAGCAGCCACUUCAGUGGAACAGAAACAUUCAAUAUCCAAGCAACAGUAGGCAUCCUCCCACUACCCAGACUUCAGGAUAGGGACUGGCUACUAUUGCUGUCUCAAACCCAGGAAAGCGUCUGUCAUAGACAAACCGAGCAUUUUCCCUCCUCACCACCUAUGAGAUAUUGCAUGUCUCUGAAAUCACUCAGGUUGCCCCAAGCUCAGUCUCCCUUUAUAAUUCCAGGAGAAGCAGUGAUAGCAGUUCGCUUAUCACAAUUAUAAAUUCUCCUGCCAGCUACUACAAUUCAGCAUUGAUGAAUCCACAAAAUGUAUGGUUUAAGACUUUCAUUAAAUCCUCCUAAUGUGGGCCAGUUGAAGAGGAGUUUAGUAGACAGCUGAAGAGAUUAGAGAUAGCUAGAGUGAUAGAGUCCUGAUGCCCAGGAGAAUGGAAGCUGCCAAGAUCCUUUCAGUCAUGAUGGGUAGCCUCUGACCUCCACUAUGUACAUCCCCACUAAAAUUGGGUAGGUGUCCUGUAGGACUGA